RNAcentral lists this ribosomal RNA (126 nucleotides) under Fibrisoma montanum. RNAcentral's name for it is "Fibrisoma sp. HYT19 partial 16S ribosomal RNA". It matches the Rfam family "Bacterial small subunit ribosomal RNA", at positions 1 to 136 of the family's 1533-position model. The record is from RNAcentral. Lineage: Bacteria; Pseudomonadati; Bacteroidota; Cytophagia; Cytophagales; Spirosomataceae.
UUUACAAUGGAGAGUUUGAUCCUGGCUCAGGAUGAACGCUAGCGGCAGGCCUAAUACAUGCAAGUCGAACGGGCAGCAAUGCCAGUGGCAAACGGGUGCGUAACGCGUAAACAACCUGCCCCGGAU